GGUCGCUUAGCUCAGCUGGAUAGAGUGUCGCCCUCCGAAGGCGAAGGUCACAGGUUCGAAUCCUGUAGCGACCGCCA
RNAcentral lists this transfer RNA (77 nucleotides) under Aliiruegeria lutimaris. RNAcentral's name for it is "Pseudoruegeria lutimaris tRNA_Arg_CCG". It matches the Rfam family "tRNA". From Rfam's summary of the family: Transfer RNA (tRNA) molecules are approximately 80 nucleotides in length. Their secondary structure includes four short double-helical elements and three loops (D, anti-codon, and T loops). Lineage: Bacteria; Pseudomonadati; Pseudomonadota; Alphaproteobacteria; Rhodobacterales; Roseobacteraceae. The record is from RNAcentral. RNAcentral also lists the same sequence under 1 other name.